This 474-nucleotide ribosomal RNA is filed under the name uncultured bacterium. RNAcentral describes it as "bacterial SSU rRNA". It matches the Rfam family "Bacterial small subunit ribosomal RNA", at positions 328 to 794 of the family's 1533-position model. The record is from RNAcentral.
GCGCCAGACUCCUACGGGAGGCAGCAGUGGGGAAUAUUGCACAAUGGGCGCAAGCCUGAUGCAGCCAUGCCGCGUGUAUGAAGAAGGCCUUCGGGUUGUAAAGUACUUUCAGCGGGGAGGAAGGUGCUGAGGUUAAUAACCUUAGCCAUUGACGUUACCCGCAGAAGAAGCACCGGCUAACUCCGUGCCAGCAGCCGCGGUAAUACGGAGGGUGCAAGCGUUAAUCGGAAUUACUGGGCGUAAAGCGCACGCAGGCGGUCUGUCAAGUCGGAUGUGAAAUCCCCGGGCUCAACCUGGGAACUGCAUUCGAAACUGGCAGGCUGGAGUCUUGUAGAGGGGGGUAGAAUUCCAGGUGUAGCGGUGAAAUGCGUAGAGAUCUGGAGGAAUACCGGUGGCGAAGGCGGCCCCCUGGACAAAGACUGACGCUCAGGUGCGAAAGCGUGGGGAGCAAACAGGAUUAGAUACCCCCGUAUA